UACGAGGGGGGCGAGCGUUGUUCGGAAUUAUUGGGCGUAAAGGGUGCGUAGGCGGUUUGGUAAGCCUGAUGUGAAAUCUAUGGGCUCAACUCAUAGUCUGCAUCGGAAACUGCCGGGCUUGAGUAUGGGAGAGGUGAGUGGAAUUCCUGGUGUAGCGGUGAAAUGCGUAGAUAUCAGGAGGAACACCUGUGGCGAAAGCGGCUCACUGGACCAUAACUGACGCUGAUGCACGAAAGCUAGGGGAGCAAACAGG
RNAcentral lists this ribosomal RNA (253 nucleotides) under uncultured bacterium. RNAcentral describes it as "partial 16S ribosomal RNA". It matches the Rfam family "Bacterial small subunit ribosomal RNA", at positions 524 to 776 of the family's 1533-position model. The record is from RNAcentral.